GACGAACGCUGGCGGUGUGCUUAACACAUGCAAGUCGAACGGAAAGGCCCUGCUUUUGUGGGGUGCUCGAGUGGCGAACGGGUGAGUAACACGUGAGUAACCUGCCCUUGACUUUGGGAUAACUUCAGGAAACUGGGGCUAAUACCGGAUAGGAGCUCCUGCUGCAUGGUGGGGGUUGGAAAGUUUCGGCGGUUGGGGAUGGACUCGCGGCUUAUCAGCUUGUUGGUGGGGUAGUGGCUUACCAAGGCUUUGACGGGUAGCCGGCCUGCGAGGGUGACCGGCCACAUUGGGUCUGAGAUACGGCCCAGACUCCUACGGGAGGCAGCAGUGGGGAAUAUUGCACAAUGGGCGGAAGCCUGAUGCAGCAACGCCGCGUGCGGGAUGACGGCCUUCGGGUUGUAAACCGCUUUCGCCUGUGACGAAGCGUGAGUGACGGUAAUGGGUAAGGAAGCACCGGCUAACUACGUG
Molecule: ribosomal RNA, 468 nt
Filed under: uncultured bacterium
Lineage: Bacteria
Description: partial 16S ribosomal RNA
Rfam family: Bacterial small subunit ribosomal RNA
Source: RNAcentral